UACGAAGGGGGCUAGCGUUGUUCGGAAUUACUGGGCGUAAAGCGCGUGUAGGCGGGCCGUUAAGUCGGGGGUGAAAGCCGAGAGCUCAACUCUGGAACUGCCUUCGAUAAUGGCGGCCUGGAGCAUGAUAGAGUCGAGUGGAAAUGCGAGUGUAGAGGUGAAAUUCGUAGAUAUUCGCAGGAGCACCAGUGGCGAAGGCGAAUCGCUGGAUCUUUGCUGGCGCUGAGACGCGAAAUCGUGGGGAGCAAACAGG
This 253-nucleotide ribosomal RNA is filed under the name uncultured bacterium. RNAcentral's name for it is "partial 16S ribosomal RNA". It matches the Rfam family "Bacterial small subunit ribosomal RNA", at positions 524 to 776 of the family's 1533-position model. The record is from RNAcentral.